Molecule: ribosomal RNA, 482 nt
Filed under: uncultured bacterium
Lineage: Bacteria
Description: partial 16S ribosomal RNA
Rfam family: Bacterial small subunit ribosomal RNA
Source: RNAcentral
AUUGAACGCUGGCGGCAUGCCUUACACAUGCAAGUCGAACGGUAACAGGUCUUCGGAUGCUGACGAGUGGCGAACGGGUGAGUAAUACAUCGGAACGUGCCCGAUCAUGGGGGAUAACGGAGCGAAAGCUUUGCUAAUACCGCAUACGAUCUACGGAUGAAAGCAGGGGACCGCAAGGCCUUGCGCGGACGGAGCGGCCGAUGGCAGAUUAGGUAGUUGGUGGGAUAAAAGCUUACCAAGCCGACGAUCUGUAGCUGGUCUGAGAGGACGACCAGCCACACUGGGACUGAGACACGGCCCAGACUCCUACGGGAGGCAGCAGUGGGGAAUUUUGGACAAUGGGCGAAAGCCUGAUCCAGCCAUGCCGCGUGCAGGAUGAAGGCCUUCGGGUUGUAAACUGCUUUUGUACGGAACGAAAAGACUCUUUCUAAUAAAGAGGGUCCAUGACGGUACCGUAAGAAUAAGCACCGGCUAACUACGUG